RNAcentral lists this unclassified non-coding RNA (372 nucleotides) under fungal sp. RNAcentral describes it as "partial internal transcribed spacer region". The stretch from base 1 to 46 matches the Rfam family "Eukaryotic small subunit ribosomal RNA", at positions 1786 to 1831 of the family's 1831-position model. The record is from RNAcentral. Lineage: Eukaryota; Fungi.
AAGUCGUAACAAGGUUUCCGUAGGUGAACCUGCGGAAGGAUCAUUAACACGUAUCCAACGUUAAAACAACCCCGUGAACUUUCAGCUUGCUCCUGUAGCCCGUGAAAGCAGCAAUCCCUGGUAAAUCAUUGUUGACCAGCUUUUGAGUCAGGGACCUCUGCAGAUUGUGAUAUUUUAUAGCUACGGUUGAGCGAUUGCAUCUAGUGACCUGGCAUCCCCAAGUAAUCAGUGUUCUGAAAGUGUCAUUGAUUGCCGGCGACCGGGUCACCGGGCUCUGCUCCUUUACGACAACUACAGUCUAACUUCGCCGCGCGUGAAAUUCGCACGGCACCAAAAACCGAACAACUGUUAACAAUGGAUAUCUUGGUUCUC